GGCGGAUGUCUCGGCGUUGAGAGGCGAUGAAGGACGUGGAAACCUGCGAUAAGCCCAGAGGAGCUGGUAAUCGAGCUUUGAUCCUGGGAUUUCCGAAUGGAGCAAUCCGGCCCUACGGGGUCAUCACCACCUGAAUGCAUAGGGUGGUGAGGCGAACCCGGCGAACUGAAACAUCUCAGUAGCCGGAGGAAAAGAAAGCAAACGCGAUUCCGUAAGUAGCGGCGAGCGAAAGCGGACAAACCAAUAGCUGUGUGAACCGUCUGGAAAGGCGGACCAAAGAAGGUGAAAGUCCUGUAGUGCAGUAGUUGGGUAGCCCUAGAGUAGUGUCGAGCUCGUGGAACUCGGCGUGAACAUGGGGGGUCCACCCUCCAAGGCUAAAUACUCCUCAACGACCGAUAGCGAACCAGUAAGGCGACUGAACGAUGAAAAGCACCCCGAUAAGGGGAGUGAAAAGUACCUGAAACCGCAUGCUUACAAGCUGUAGGAGCCCGGCGCACUUCGGUGCGGGCGGGUGACUGCGUGCCUUUUGCAUAAUGAGCCGACGAGUUACUUUCUACGGCAAGGUUAAGCCGAAUCCCGGCGGAGCCGAAGGGAAACCGAGUCUUAAACGGGCGUCGAGUCGUAGGAGGUAGACGCGAAACCAGGUGAUCUACCCAUGGGCAGGUUGAAGAUGGGGUAAUACCCGUUGGAGGACCGAACACACUAACGUUGAAAAGUUAGGUGAUGACCUGUGGGGAGGAGUAAAAGUCUAAUCAUACCUGGAGAUAUCUCGUUCUCUCCGAAAUAGCUUUAGGGCUAGCCUCGCGUUACAUCGUGUGGGGGUAGAGCGACUGGAUGGGGUUGGGGGGCUACCCGCCUACCCGCCUCAACCAAACUCCGAAUACCACACGACUUUGUCGCGGGAGUCAGUCCGCGGGAGAUAAUUUCCGCGGUCGAAAGGGAAACAGCCCAGAUCGUCAGAUAAGGCCCCUAAACGAUCCUCAGUUGAUAAGGUAGUUGGAUUGCCAUGACAGCCAGGAUGUUGGCUUAGAAGCAGCCAUCAUUUAAAGAAAGCGUAAUAGCUCACUGAUCGAGUCGUCCUGC
This 1083-nucleotide ribosomal RNA is filed under the name Erythrolobus madagascarensis. RNAcentral describes it as "partial Bacterial large subunit ribosomal RNA". It matches the Rfam family "Bacterial large subunit ribosomal RNA", at positions 23 to 1162 of the family's 2925-position model. Lineage: Eukaryota; Rhodophyta; Bangiophyceae; Porphyridiales; Porphyridiaceae. The record is from RNAcentral.